Molecule: ribosomal RNA, 460 nt
Filed under: uncultured bacterium
Lineage: Bacteria
Description: partial 16S ribosomal RNA
Rfam family: Bacterial small subunit ribosomal RNA
Source: RNAcentral
CCUACGGGUGGCAGCAGUGAGGAAUAUUGGUCAAUGGGCGCGAGCCUGAACCAGCCAAGUAGCGUGAAGGAUGACUGCCCUACGGGUUGUAAACUUCUUUUAUAAAGGAAUAAAGUGAGGCACGUGUGCCUUUAUGUGUGUACUUUAAGAAUAAGGAUCGGCUAACUCCGUGCCAGCAGCCGCGGUAAUACGGAGGAUCCGAGCGUUAUCCGGAUUUAUUGGGUUUAAAGGGAGCGUAGAUGGGUUGUUAAGUCAGUUGUGAAAGCUUGCGGCUCAACCGUAAAAUUGCAGUUGAUACUGACAGUCUUGAGUGCAGUAGAGGUAGGCGGAAUGCGUGGUGUAGCGGUGAAAUGCUUAGAUAUCACGAAGAACUCCGAUUGCGAAGGCAGCUUACUAGACUGCCACUGACAUUGAUGCUCGAAAGUGUGGGUAUCAAACAGGAUUAGAUACCCGUGUAGUC